GACGAACGCUGGCGGCGUGCUUAACACAUGCAAGUCGAACGGAAAGGCCCUGCUUUUGUGGGGUGCUCGAGUGGCGAACGGGUGAGUAACACGUGAGUAACCUGCCCUUGACUUUGGGAUAACUUCAGGAAACUGGGGCUAAUACCGGAUAGGAGCUCCUGCUGCAUGGUGGGGGUUGGAAAGUUUCGGCGGUUGGGGAUGGACUCGCGGCUUAUCAGCUUGUUGGUGGGGUAGUGGCUUACCAAGGCUUUGACGGGUAGCCGGCCUGAGAGGGUGACCGGCCACAUUGGGACUGAGAUACGGCCCAGACUCCUACGGGAGGCAGCAGUGGGGAAGAUUGCACAAUGGGCGGAAGCCUGAUGCAGAAACGCCGCGUGCGGGAAGACGGCCUUCGGGUUGUAAACCGCUUUCGCCUGUGACGAAGCGUGAGUGACGGUAAUGGGUAAAGAAGCACCGGCUAACUACGUGC
Molecule: ribosomal RNA, 469 nt
Filed under: uncultured bacterium
Lineage: Bacteria
Description: partial 16S ribosomal RNA
Rfam family: Bacterial small subunit ribosomal RNA
Source: RNAcentral